RNAcentral lists this ribosomal RNA (501 nucleotides) under uncultured bacterium. RNAcentral's name for it is "partial 16S ribosomal RNA". It matches the Rfam family "Bacterial small subunit ribosomal RNA", at positions 30 to 523 of the family's 1533-position model. The record is from RNAcentral.
AUUGAACGCUGGCGGCAGGCUUAACACAUGCAAGUCGAGCGGAGAGAGGUAGCUUGCUACUGAUCUUAGCGGCGGACGGGUGAGUAAUGCCUAGGAAUCUGCCUAUUAGUGGGGGACAACAUUUCGAAAGGAAUGCUAAUACCGCAUACGUCCUACGGGAGAAAGCAGGGGAUCUUCGGACCUUGCGCUAAUAGAUGAGCCUAAGUCGGAUUAGCUAGUUGGUGGGGUAAAGGCCUACCAAGGCGACGAUCUGUAGCGGGUCUGAGAGGAUGAUCCGCCACACUGGGACUGAGACACGGCCCAGACUCCUACGGGAGGCAGCAGUGGGGAAUAUUGGACAAUGGGCGCAAGCCUGAUCCAGCCAUGCCGCGUGUGUGAAGAAGGCCUUAUGGUUGUAAAGCACUUUAAGCGAGGAGGAGGCUACUUUAGAUAAUACCUAGAGAUAGUGGACGUUACUCGCAGAAUAAGCACCGGCUAACUCUGUGCCAGCAGCCGCCGUAA